AGUGAACGCUGGCGGUAGGCCUAACACAUGCAAGUCGAACGGCAGCACAGGAGAGCUUGCUCUCUGGGUGGCGAGUGGCGGACGGGUGAGGAAUACAUCGGAAUCUACUCUGUCGUGGGGGAUAACGUAGGGAAACCUACGCUAAUACCGCAUACGACCUACGGGUGAAAGCAGGGGACCUUCGGGCCUUGCGCGAUUGAAUGAGCCGAUGUCGGAUUAGCUAGUUGGCGGGGUAAAGGCCCACCAAGGCGACGAUCCGUAGCUGGUCUGAGAGGAUGAUCAGCCACACUGGAACUGAGACACGGUCCAGACUCCUACGGGAGGCAGCAGUGGGGAAUAUUGGACAAUGGGCGCAAGCCUGAUCCAGCCAUACCGCGUGGGUGAAGAAGGCCUUCGGGUUGUAAAGCCCUUUUGUUGGGAAAGAGAUCCAGCUGGCUAAUACCCGGUUGGGAUGACGGUACCCAAAGAAUAAGCACCGGCUAACUUCGUGCCAGCCGCCGCGGUAA
Molecule: ribosomal RNA, 506 nt
Filed under: uncultured bacterium
Lineage: Bacteria
Description: partial 16S ribosomal RNA
Rfam family: Bacterial small subunit ribosomal RNA
Source: RNAcentral